CAUACGAACAAAUCAAAAUCGUUUCAUCCCAAACACUUAUCUCCGAAUUCGUACCCUCCAACAACACUUCCACUCUCCCAUUCAUAAAACCCGAAACCAAAACGAAUAAACCCGAAAGUAACCAUCCAAAUAUUAACCUCUUUCCCCGCAUCAAAUCCGACCCGACCGUGAUAGCUUCCAACCCUGUUCUUUCCUCAACGACGGAAACCACCAUGCCCAAACCCAUGACCCCCAUCAAAUAAACCUCGAAACCAAACCCGAUCGCCAUAAUAAUGAAUCGCAAUUCAGGUGAUGUGAAAGCCGAAGAGAUGACACGUGGCACGGAUGAGAAUACGAAAAGUAUGACGUAAACAAAAAUAGCGGUGACGAACGGGCGUUUCCAAUUCUCUUUAACGGCGGUAACAACGGAGUUAACAGUAACCGAUUUACCUUGAAUGAAGUUGUAUGUGGUGUGGACGGAUGAAACGGCGGCGGCGAGGGAGAGAGGGAGGCAAAUGAGUAAGAAGAGUGCUCUGAUGCGGAGGAGAUAAACAGCGUUGUCACGUGAUUCGUGCCAGACGUGACGCGCUUCCAUGAGAGUGGAGGUGAAAAGAGCGAGGGCUUCGAGGUGAUAGAUAUGGGAACGAAGGGUGUGUGUGGUGAUGGAGAGUGUGAACAAGAGAAAUGAGAGUGGAAGUGUUGUGAAUAAUGCGAUGAACAAUAAUACGAGCUUGUUGUUGUGAAUAACUCUCACUGGUUCUAACACUCUCCAAAAACCAUCUUUUCCUUUUCUCAACAUUUUCGUUGUUAACUUAACAAUCAAUGCAUCAUCAAUUAUAAUAUCUAUGCUUCCUUCC
RNAcentral lists this long non-coding RNA (836 nucleotides) under Medicago truncatula (barrel medic). Its description in RNAcentral is "lncRNA gene6937". The record is from RNAcentral. Lineage: Eukaryota; Viridiplantae; Streptophyta; Magnoliopsida; Fabales; Fabaceae.